ACCCGGGUUGCGGACAGUGUCUGGUGGGUAGUUUGACUGGGGCGGUCUCCUCCUAAAGAGUAACGGAGGAGCACGAAGGUUGGCUAAUCCUGGUCGGACAUCAGGAGGUUAGUGCAAUGGCAUAAGCCAGCUUGACUGCGAGCGUGACGGCGCGAGCAGGUGCGAAAGCAGGUCAUAGUGAUCCGGUGGUUCUGAAUGGAAGGGCCAUCGCUCAACGGAUAAAAGGUACUCCGGGGAUAACAGGCUGAUACCGCCCAAGAGUUCAUAUCGACGGCGGUGUUUGGCACCUCGAUGUCGGCUCAUCACAUCCUGGGGCUGAAGUAGGUCCCAAGGGUAUGGCUGUUCGCCAUUUAAAGUGGUACGCGAGCUGGGUUUAGAACGUCGUGAGACAGUUCGGUCCCUAUCUGCCGUGGGCGCUGGAGAACUGAGGGGGGCUGCUCCUAGUACGAGAGGACCGGAGUGGACGCAUCACUGGUGUUCGGGUUGUCAUGCCAAUGGCACUGCCCGGUAGCUAAAUGCGGAAGAGAUAAGUGCUGAAAGCAUCUAAGCACGAAACUUGCCCCGAGAUGAGUUCUCCCUGAGACUUAAAGUCUCCUGAAGGAACGUUGAAGACGACGACGUUGAUAGGCCGGGUGUGUAAGCGCAGCGAUGCGUUGAGCUAACCGGUACUAAUGAACCGUGAGGCUUAACCCUACAACGCCGAAG
Molecule: ribosomal RNA, 705 nt
Filed under: Salmonella enterica
Lineage: Bacteria; Pseudomonadati; Pseudomonadota; Gammaproteobacteria; Enterobacterales; Enterobacteriaceae
Description: partial 23S ribosomal RNA
Rfam family: Bacterial large subunit ribosomal RNA
Source: RNAcentral